This 5025-nucleotide long non-coding RNA is filed under the name Homo sapiens (human). RNAcentral describes it as "non-protein coding lnc-HLA-DOA-1:1". The record is from RNAcentral. Lineage: Eukaryota; Metazoa; Chordata; Mammalia; Primates; Hominidae.
AUCACUGUUCCUGUGCUCACAGUCAUCAAUUAUAGACCCCACAACAUGCGCCCUGAAGACAGAAUGUUCCAUAUCAGAGCUGUGAUCUUGAGAGCCCUCUCCUUGGCUUUCCUGCUGAGUCUCCGAGGAGCUGGGGCCAUCAAGGCGGACCAUGUGUCAACUUAUGCCGCGUUUGUACAGACGCAUAGACCAACAGGGGAGUUUAUGUUUGAAUUUGAUGAAGAUGAGAUGUUCUAUGUGGAUCUGGACAAGAAGGAGACCGUCUGGCAUCUGGAGGAGUUUGGCCAAGCCUUUUCCUUUGAGGCUCAGGGCGGGCUGGCUAACAUUGCUAUAUUGAACAACAACUUGAAUACCUUGAUCCAGCGUUCCAACCACACUCAGGCCACCAACGGUACGCCCUAUCUUUGCCUCUUCCUCUGUAGCCCAACUGGAAGGGAUGAGAGGGCCUCUCUGCCACCCUCAGACUAGGAAGCCUAAGUGCCCCCUGCUGUGUGAUCCUCUUCCCCUAGUGGCCAUGGGCUGAUCCCACUACAGCAAGGGCUUGCAUCCUCUCUUCUCAGGAGAGAGAAAGGUGAGCAGAGUGAGGCUGGUCAGUGGUGUGAUACCCCUCUCUGUGAUUCAGAGCUGCCAUAAAAUCUAAGGCUGAGGUAGAGGACCACCCUCCCCUAAGAGGUGGAGCCUUUGUGAUUCAUCCCAGAAGAGGGGCCUAACCUGGUGCUGUCUCCUUCCAGAUCCCCCUGAGGUGACCGUGUUUCCCAAGGAGCCUGUGGAGCUGGGCCAGCCCAACACCCUCAUCUGCCACAUUGACAAGUUCUUCCCACCAGUGCUCAACGUCACGUGGCUGUGCAACGGGGAGCUGGUCACUGAGGGUGUCGCUGAGAGCCUCUUCCUGCCCAGAACAGAUUACAGCUUCCACAAGUUCCAUUACCUGACCUUUGUGCCCUCAGCAGAGGACUUCUAUGACUGCAGGGUGGAGCACUGGGGCUUGGACCAGCCGCUCCUCAAGCACUGGGGUAUGCAACUGCUUUUCUCUCCAUAAUCUCCUGGCAUCCUCUAUUCCAAAGACCUGGUGUCCUCUGCACCAGCUUUCCGCACUGGCUGGGUCUCAGUCCUCUCCUCGUCCUAACAUCCAAUUAACUGGUCCAUAACCUUCAAUUCCCACAACCAUCCCAGGCCAUCACCACCCUCACUGCACCUCCUGACCCUAUCUCUUCAUUCUUCCCCCAGAGGCCCAAGAGCCAAUCCAGAUGCCUGAGACAACGGAGACUGUGCUCUGUGCCCUGGGCCUGGUGCUGGGCCUAGUCGGCAUCAUCGUGGGCACCGUCCUCAUCAUAAAGUCUCUGCGUUCUGGCCAUGACCCCCGGGCCCAGGGGACCCUGUGAAAUACUGUAAAGGUGGGAAUGUAAAGAGGAGGCCCUAGGAUUUGUAGAAUGUAAGGAAGGGAGGAAAAAUUCAAUCUGAUAAGUGUUCAUUGAUCUUCUAAUGGGUUAAAAGCAUUCAGCCACAUAACAACAACAACACCGAUAACUAACUGAGUAGUUAAUAUGGUCAGGCGCUAUUCUGAGGAUUUACAUUUAUUAACUCACUUUAUUCUCACACAUAGUCUUUGAGGUAGGUACUAUUAUUUUCACUAUUUCACAUGAGAGAUACUUACAUCUUUUUACAUACACAGAGACUUUAAGCACUUUGAUCAAGUUCCCACAGCUAUGAAGUAGUAGGGCUAGCUUCCAAUCCAGAAAGUCUGGAUCCAAGACUGUUUAUCCACUGUCCUAUUCACCCUAUUUUGUGAAGGAAAAGACCAAGUUCAAAUUCUCCAGAGUCCAUUGCCAAAUAAUGGAGUCAGAUCUAUAUUUCUAUACAUAAUUACAACACAGUGUGGUGGGUGCCUGUAACUACUUACUGUCUCUACUUGGACUCAUUCCAUGGCAAUGUUCACACAAAAAAUGCCCCUCCAGAGAUCUUACAGGUUUCUAUUUAUCAUAACACUCACCAUGCUUUAUAUUUUUAUAUGUUUUGGGAAUUCUCUUAGCAUUAGACAGUGAACUUCCAUGCAGAUGACCACAUCUAAUUCAUUAUUAUUAUUGUUAUUCAUGCUGGACCUCAGGUACAAAAGGUUAAGAACUUCUCAGUUCAUUAUAUGAUCAUCAUUGGUGCCUCCGAGCUCUCUCUCUCUCCCUUGAUUUAUUUGGUCCCUUUUAUCUCCAGUCCUUACUCCCAUAUCUAACCUCUUACCCCUACCUCAUAGGUAAACAUUUUAAUGAAUUUGAUGUUUCCUUUUAUUUGCAUAGAUCCUCUGUAAUAUGUAGUAGUGUCCAGUGUACAUGUAUUUUUAAUUAACCAAAAUGGCAUUAAAUUAUAGAUCUAAUUUUGUACAUCCAGUUUGUUUCUUCCAAAUCUUCCAUAGUAUUUUACUUUAUAUGUCCAUGCAUUAGUCCAUUUUGCAUUGCUAUAAAGGAAUAUCUGAAGUUACCUAAUUUACGAAGAAAAGAGCUUUAAAUGGCUCACAGAUCUGCAGGCUGUACGCGAAACAUGGCACUAGCAUCUGCUUCUGUUGGGGGAUUCUGGAAGCUUUUACUCAUGGUGGAAGGCAAGUGGAGCCAGUGCAUCACAUGGUCAUAGAGGGAGAAAGAGACAUAGAAAGAGGUGCCAGCCUCUUUUUAACAACCAGGUUUCAUGUGCACUAAUAGAGUGAGAACUCACUCAUUACCCGGAGAGGGGACAAAGCCAUUCAUGAGGGUCUCCUCCAUGAUUCAAAUACCUCCCACCAGGCCCCACCUGCAACACUGGGGAUCAAUUUUCAACAUGAGACUUGGAAGUGACAAAUAUCCAAAUCAUAUUAAUCCACAUAUCUACAUUGCUCCUGGGAUACCUGGAUCAUUCCUGGUUCUCUACUAUUGCAAGCAAUGCUUGUAUCUCACAUGGAACUGCAUAUACAUGUGGGCCUGACCUGCAUCCCUGGAAUGUAUGUAUCCUAGAAAGGGGUUGCAGGGUUGCUGGAGAUGCAGCUCCUUAAUUUGACUAAACACUGCUCAUCUUCUCAUCAGAAUGGCUGUACUCAUCUGAACUUCCUUUGUCAGUACUCUAAUUGUCCUGCAACUCCUAAAUGGACUUCAACACUGGACAUUAUCCAGUUUUCUAACUUUUGCCAAUUUCAUGUGCAUAAAGAAAUAUGCUGUUUUAUUUUGCAUUUCUUUAAUUACUAAUAAUUGGGGCUAUAAUUAGGACUGAUUAGCCACUUGGGGGUUCCUUUUCUAUAAAUUGCCUGUUCACAUUCAUUGUCCAUUUUUGUACUAUGUGCUUCCAUCAUUUUCUUAUUGAUUUGCAGGUGAUCCUUAUAUAGUCCUGCUAGUAGUCCCUUGUCAGUUUUAGGCAUUGCAAAUGUUUUCCUCUAAUCUGACUUCUGGCAACUGUCUCCUUGGUUUCCUUUAUUGAAGAGAAAUCCUUAAUAUUUUGUAAUGAAGUCCAUCAACUGUAUUUUUGUUUGUGUGUCUUUUUUAAAAGAAGUCUUCCCUAUACUGAGAUAUCAAAGAUACUCUUAAAACAUCUCCUACAGUUUUAAAUUUCACAUUUACUACUUUAAUUCAUCUGGGAUUCAUCUUUGUGUUUGAUGGGGAUCAUGUUUUAUUUUUCUUUAUAUAAUGGGCCAGUGUGUUCCCACAACUACUAAAUAGUUCACCUUUUCCCCAUAGGUUAGUAGUGUCUCCUUUGCUAUACUGAAAGCUCCCAUUAUAGGUGGGCCUGUGUCUGAGUUCCAUCUUGUUCCACUGUUCUGUUUGUCUCUUCUUGUGCCAGUGUCCUAGUAUUUUGAUUACUAUGACAUUGUAGUGUGUGUUAGUAUCCAGUAGGACAAAUUCUUGUUUAUUUUUCUUAGUUCACACACAUUUAUAAUUAUAUCUAUAAUGAUUUGUAACAGAGUGAAGUGAAUGUAGAAUGUCAGAUGUUAAGAGGAAGAAUGGAAAAGAGGGCUGGGACUAGGGUGAUGUAGGGGAUGCACCUGGCUUAGGUGCAAAAUUUGGGGGAUACCAAAAGAACUCAGUAAUAAAUCAUAUUUUAAUGAAAUAUCUUGAAAAGGCAAAAUUAAUGCAAAGAUACAUGAUUAACAAAACAUCCAAAGAGGAGUAUUUAACAAAAAUGGAGAAGCAGAGAAGCAGAAGAAUUAGGAGAAUAUGCUGUCACAUGAGCCAAGGAAUUAAAGAAUUCAGGAAGGAGGAAGUACUGCUGUCAGAUGUUCAACAGAGGUCAUUUUAGAAAAUUUACCUUGGUUUUUGAAAUCCUUUCAAAGAGCAGUAUACACAAUGUGAGCAAGUAUCCUUCGUUCAUUGCCGUCAUUGAUAUGGUUUGGAUAUUUGUCCCUUCCAAUUCUCAUUCCAGGGUUAAGCUUCUUCUCUGCCCUCAGUAAUGUGGCCCUUCCCCUUGUCUGUAUAUUUUGGAGACAUGAAGCAUGUGGGAUGGCCUCACAGUCAGCUGGGGUUUGAGGGUGAAAUUCAAUGACUUUCGUGAACUCCUUGGCUCCUAUGUGCUCUUCACCUGGAGGACCAGGGCAUGUGCAGGGAUGACCACCUUCUCCCUGGGACCUGAACAGGGCAGAGAAAUGGGAAGCUCGGGUGCAAAGGGAGUGGGGAAGAUGGGUCCGGGCUUACAGUACUGAACCCAGGAAUGACAAUAACUGUGUGUGUUGCUGCAGGUGACAAAAUAUCUGAACAGAAGAGGACUUAGGAGAGAUCUGAACUCCAGCUGCCCUACAAACUCCAUCUCAGCUUUUCUUCUCACUUCAUGUGAAAACUACUCCAGUGGCUGACUGAAUUGCUGACCCUUCAAGCUCUGUCCUUAUCCAUUACCUCAAAGCAGUCAUUCCUUAGUAAAGUUUCCAACAAAUAGAAAUUAAUGACACUUUGGUAGCACUAAUAUGGAGAUUAUCCUUUCAUUGAGCCUUUUAUCCUCUGUUCUCCUUUGAAGAACCCCUCACUGUCACCUUCCCGAGAAUACCCUAAGACCAAUAAAUACUUCAGUAUUUCAGAGCGGGGA